Molecule: ribosomal RNA, 483 nt
Filed under: uncultured bacterium
Lineage: Bacteria
Description: partial 16S ribosomal RNA
Rfam family: Bacterial small subunit ribosomal RNA
Source: RNAcentral
GACGAACGCUGGCGGCGUGCUUAACACAUGCAAGUCGAACGCUGAAGCUCAGCUUUUGUUGGGUGGAUGAGUGGCGAACGGGUGAGUAACACGUGAGUAACCUGCCCCCUUCUUUGGGAUAACGCCCGGAAACGGGUGCUAAUACUGGAUAUUCACUGGUCUUCGCAUGGGGGUUGGUGGAAAGGGUUUUUCUGGUGGGGGAUGGGCUCGCGGCCUAUCAGCUUGUUGGUGGGGUGAUGGCCUACCAAGGCUUUGACGGGUAGCCGGCCUGAGGGGGUGACCGGUCACAUUGGGACUGAGAUACGGCCCAGACUCCUACGGGAGGCAGCAGUGGGGAAGAUUGCGCAAUGGGCGCAAGCCUGAUGCAGCGACGCCGCGUGAGGGAUGGAGGCCUUCGGGUUGUGAACCUCUUUCGCUCAUGGUCAAGCCGCAACAAUGGUUGUGGUGAGGGUAGUGGGUAAAGAAGCGCCGGCUAACUACGUG